CCUACGGGAGGCAGCAGUGAGGAAUAUUGGUCAAUGGACGAGAGUCUGAACCAGCCAAGUAGCGUGAAGGAUGACUGACCUAUGGGUUGUAAACUUCUUUUAUAUGGGAAUAAAAUGUUCCACGUGUGGGAGUUUGUAUGUACCAUAUGAAUAAGGAUCGGCUAACUCCGUGCCAGCAGCCGCGGUAAUACGGAGGAUCCGGGCGUUAUCCGGAUUUAUUGGGUUUAAAGGGAGCGUAGAUGGGUUGGUAAGUCAGUUGUGAAAGUUUGCGGCUCAACCGUAAAAUUGCAAUUGAUACUGGCAGUCUUGAGUACAGUUGAGGUAGGCGGAAUUCGUGGUGUAGCGGUGAAAUGCUUAGAUAUCACGAAGAACUCCGAUUGCGAAGGCAGCUUACUAAACUGCCACUGACAUUGAUGCUCGAAAGUGUGGGUAUCAAACAGGAUUAGAUACCCUAGUAGUC
RNAcentral lists this ribosomal RNA (460 nucleotides) under uncultured bacterium. RNAcentral describes it as "partial 16S ribosomal RNA". It matches the Rfam family "Bacterial small subunit ribosomal RNA", at positions 338 to 795 of the family's 1533-position model. The record is from RNAcentral.